Panicum virgatum (switchgrass) is the source of this 2764-nucleotide long non-coding RNA. RefSeq lists it as uncharacterized. The transcript is spliced from 2 exons. The record is from RefSeq and is a predicted model, not a curated record. NCBI's taxonomy places the organism in Eukaryota, Viridiplantae, Streptophyta, Magnoliopsida, Poales, Poaceae.
GCCGGCAACAAUUUCUACGGUGCGCGAGCGCAAAGGCCUCGCCUUUCCGGUGCCGCGCCCAAUUCUUUUGGCUUCUUUAAUCGAGAGCGCGCCUAAUUGCGCUGCCGCUAAUGGGAUUCCGUCCUGCCGCUUUACGAGCCGUGAUCGAUGUUUACUCGCGUGAAAUGAUGCGGACCUAACUCACACGGUGGAGGUAAAUCAAUCAGCCAGCAAAUUGACAGGUAAAUGGAGCUGAACGGAAGCGAUUGCUGAUUGGGUUCUUCUUCCCGUGCUUCGUCAAAAUCGUCUCUUCUCUUUCCGAGCAUGAUUUUGCCCUGGAAAUCACACAUGUUGCUGGUAAAAUUUUUCCUGCUUUCAGCUUUCAUCUCACGGACUUCUUGCUGGCUUAUCAAAUCGAGACUCUGGUAGUGUUGAUAAAUUUGUUUGUUUCAGAUUACUUGCCCUCUAAAUUAUAUAAUCUAGCUUAUAUAAUCCACAUGGAUAGCAAACACUACAAAUUAUAAUCCAGAUUAUAUAACCUAUACAAUUAGAUUAUCACAAUCACAUAAACUGCCCAAAGUAUGCUCAUUUCAUAUCAUAGUAUGGAUUAUAUAAUCUAGCGCAUAUAAAUUUGAUUAUAUAAUCUACAGGCCCUAAGUGUAACUUUCCUUGCCUCCACGCCACAAUAAUUCUCAUUAUAUGGGCUAGGGAAGAAAAAGAAUCAUGCUACUAAUUUGACAUGCUCUAAUCCUGGCUAGGAAGGAAAAAAUAUUCACUCUACAUUAUGCAAAUAACCUAAAAGAACUCAUAAAUGUAUAUCUAAUUUACUCAGCUUUAAAUUAUAGAAACACUACUACAAAAUUCUAUUUUGCGAGGCACUUAAAAAUUGCGUCGGUAAAUUCCUCCAUUAACCGUGACGAUGGCUCCGAGGCGGUUGGCAUGCCCGCCUCGGAAAAGCGAUUUUGCCCGCGCUCCAAAAUGAUUUCUGUAGUAGUGAAAUAAUGUAAAAUUACAUCCUAAUCUUUAUCUAAAUUACUCAACUAUAUGAUUAUAAAAAAAUAUUUCAAAGCAACGAACUAAGUGUAACUCGGUCGAUUAGAUUCGUUGGGGUAGAAUAUGUACUACCAAGUUUGAGUCCUUCACUCAGUGUAUGUGCUCACACUUGUUUAGAUUUAUUUCAGGAAUUUAAGUGUUAUUUUUUAAUGGUAGAUGAUGUGUCCGUCCCAAACAUUAUAAAUCUUUUUUACUACAAAAUAUUGAUUUGUUCCGUAGAUAGUAAAAGGAAGUGGAAAACGUAUGAGGCCUAACCUAAAAUGGUAAAACUCCUCCUCUUAUUGGGAGGGGGUUAUACCGAUAUUCCCCAAGUUCAACAAACCGGCGCCCACAAUGUAAAGCUCCCAGCAAUCCUGCACUCCUUGCCCCUGAAAGUGCUGUGUGGUUGCACCCGUCCUUUACAGGAUCCCGGGAUCGCCUGCAGAAUAUCCCUCCACAUGGCCGUUGCACACACCGCUGGAAGUGCAGGCGGCGCAACAACACUGGCCCCCUCCUUUUGCUUGGCGACAGCCUUUCUUUUCCGGUCACCGGAAGCAAUCCUAGUUGGAGUUUCAGGUCGCAAACGCAUAAGAAAAAUAGCCACCAGAUGGCCGGCCGCCAUUUUGUGCCGGAAUCGGCGUGGAUCGGAUUUACCUGCCCUUUUUUGUCACUUCAAAAUGUGGUUGCAAUGGGAUGCAUCGCGUCGCCCGGCUUUCUCGUUGUCUGAAUGUGAGGGGAUCUUUUGAGUGAGUGAAGGUGGUGACAGUGAGCAGGCAGGGUGUGGCAAGUGGCGUGUGCUCAGCUCAAGGGAUCAUGUGAUGGCUGCCCCCUUUUUUGAGGUAUCUCAACUGGAUAUUCUGGAGAAGAUGCAUGGAAGGGCGUGAUCGAUGCUGAAAACGAAAUGGGUUUUGGAUGAUCUGCAGAAUAUGCUCCCGUCUGAUCCAGCUAGUUACGGAAGAGUGUGAGUUCAAUGACAACAACACCUUUUGUGCUUGCUUGACAAACUAGUACAUUCUAGUUGCCCGACCUGAGUGUAAAGUCGGUCUGUCCCGACUUUUCUGAACACGGUUCAUCUGAACAUUUGCCAAUUUCGUAUAGCGCGUGUUUACAUUUCGUAUUCUCAUUUGCCCUCUCCCUGUGCUACGUUUGUCAAUGCCGAUCGUUUUAUUUGCUCGUAAACUUUUGCCAAUUUUAAGCCCACAUGAUUACAUGAACCACUAAUUAUCUGGCAUCAUUGUUGGCUGAUGAGUGGGCCAAACAUGUGCAGAAGAAGCUGGCCUAGCUUUCCAGUGCCAUCUUUCCAUGGAGCACGCAUUAUCGAUGCAUCACCUAGCUAUCUGUCCAAAAUUAUUCGGAGCGAACAUGUUAUCCUGAGCAAUUGGUGUGUGUUUAAAUUUGACGUUAAUUUGCAGCUGCGUCACUGCUCCACUAGCUCGGUGGUGGGUGGAGAGGAGGGAGGCGGCCGGCGAUAUUUUAAGUGUCCAUCCUGGCAGAUAUGAAAUGUAUAUAUAUUUUCCUUGCAUCGUGAGCAUCCAUGGCACCAUAAACCGAUAAAAGAAGUCAUCAGCUCCGAGUGGUGGUGUGUUGUUUGGGUUGUUUAGCAGAAGUUUCUGCUUUCAUUUGUGAAAAUACAUCGGGUCGUGGUGGAAAUCUGUGGUAGGUAAAAUUUAUGCAGUACAGUAAGAAUUAAGGAAUUACAAGGUAUUUUGCUAGGUUUUUCUUUUUCUCAGGUUAUGCAAGGAUUUACAAGUCA